This 54-nucleotide transfer RNA is filed under the name Strongyloides sp. EN-2020b. RNAcentral describes it as "tRNA-Phe". Lineage: Eukaryota; Metazoa; Nematoda; Chromadorea; Rhabditida; Strongyloididae. The record is from RNAcentral.
ACUCUUUUAGUUUAUGUAAAAUAUGACUUUGAAGCGGUUAAGAAUUUAGGAGUA